CAAAUUUUUGCUAAUCACAAGUCACGACGUACUUCCCUUCCCAAAGUUUUGAAGUAUAAUUUACUCAAUUCCCUUCUUAACACAAACUUGGUCAUCGAACGUCUCAGAAAUCGCGAGGAGAGAGAAAGAGAAGAGCCAGAAAUCCAUAGAAAACCGUAAACGCUGAAGAAAUGUUGCAACAACAGCAGCAACAACACAGAGACAGAGGUCGUCUCCGUUGUGAAGGUACUGCCAUGGGCGCCAUCGCUCUCGAUCUUCGUCCUGGCCUUGGUAUCGGCCCUUUUACAUUAGGAAUGCCGGUUUGUGAAGCGUUUACGCAAAUAGAACAACAACCUAAUAUUUAUGAUGUGGUGCACGUCAAGUAUUUUGAUGAGGAACCCUUGAAGUUGGAUAUGGUAAUUAGCUUCCCUGAUCAUGGAUUUCACCUCCGUUUUGAUCCUUGGUCGCAGCGGUUACGCCUUAUUGAAAUUUAUGAUGUUAAAAGGCUUCAGAUGCGGUAUGCCACCUCUCUCAUUGGGGGACCGUCAACUCUUGCAACAUUUGUAGAAGUAUAUAGACUUUUUGGUCCUACAUUUCUAGGAAUUUAUGACAAAGAAAGAGGCAUUUAUAAUCUUUUUUAUCCGGGAUUAUCUUUUGCUUUCCCUAUUCCUGUGCAAUAUACCGAGUCUUGCAAUGAUCGAGCGGAAUUGCCACUUGAAUUUCCCGAUGGUACUACCCCAGUUGCUUGUCGCGUUUGCAUUUAUGAUGGUUCAAUGGGUAAAAAAGUUGGGGUUGGAUCAUUAAUGGACAAGGCCAUUGUUCCUCCUUUGCCCAUUGGUAGCUUGUACAUGGAAGAGGUGCAUGUCAAGUUGGGAGAAGAAUUAUGGUUUUCUAUUGGUGAUCAGCAUUUACCUUUUGGUGCAUCCCCACAGGAUGUUUGGACUGAAUUAGGUCGUCCUUGCGGGAUACAUCAAAAGCAGGUUGAUCAAAUGGUGAUUCACUCUGCCUCGGAUCCACGGCCCAGGACAACCCUUUGUGGAGAUUAUUUCUAUAAUUACUUUACACGUGGUUUGGACAUAUUAUUUGAUGGGCAGACACAUAAAAUCAAAAAGUUUGUUCUACACACAAAUUGUCCUGGGCACCCUGAUUUCAAUUCAUAUAUUAAAUGCAAUUUUGUCAUCCACCCAUCUGAUUUUACUGGAUCAUUUCCAGAAAAUAAAACUUCCAAAAACUGCAUUACCGCAAGCACCAAAUGGGAACAGGUGAAGGAAAUUCUUGGAGAUUGUGGUCGUGCUGCUAUACAAACUCAAGGGUCAUCAAAUAAUCCUUUUGGAUCUUCAUUUGUUUAUGGUUAUCAAAAUGUUGCUUUUGAGGUUAUGAAGAAUAACUACAUUGCCACUGUGACUCUGUUUCAUUCCUGAAAAAUGUUUCUAGAAAACGUCAAAUUGAUGGUGAAUUACUUCUCUACUAUAAAAUCUGGAUCUUGAAGAAUUUAUCAACUUCAAAAUAUGUUCAUUCUAGGUACGGAGCCACAUCUAAGCUAUCUCCUAGUAAAAUGUCGAGAAGAAAACUCAGCCAUGAAUGUACAGCUGCAUCGUCUUGUGUACUGUUCUUCUUACAUUGAGUUCUUUUAAUAGCAAUUAUGAUCAUGAAAUGUGCCUCAAAUAUUUGGUAACUCAUGUAUAUAAUUAUGCCCUCCGUCUCACCCAUUUUGCUGCAUUGGAAAAGGAAAUGUAUCAAAAUGGGUACAGAGUAGUAUUUAUUAUUGCCGUCUGAAAGUGUUUCUUUCUGGCAUGAUGAUGCUUUAUUAUCUGAUAACUGGGAUCAUGAACCAUCGACUGUCGUGAAUUUACGACUGGUUAUGUUUAGUUUCUUUUUUUUUUUUUUUUUUUUUUUUUUUUUCAGAAAUCGCUAAUGUUAUCUGUACAGAACUGAUCCUGUUAAUUGUUCCUGAUUUAACAUGUCUGAUGCCUUAUUAUUUGUUGUUAA
RNA transcript from Amaranthus tricolor (Joseph's coat), 1968 nucleotides. It is a transcript of the gene named PHAF1 protein At3g51130, with no coding region annotated. The record is from RefSeq and is a predicted model, not a curated record. NCBI's taxonomy places the organism in Eukaryota, Viridiplantae, Streptophyta, Magnoliopsida, Caryophyllales, Amaranthaceae. The transcript has 17 exons.